UCCCACCAUCCACCAGUGACACCUAGCAGCAUGUAGUGGCUACCCAGUAGAAUAGAAAGAUGAACCUCUAGGUGCAGUUAACAUGUGAUACAGUCCUAUUAUCGUGGAUCCCUACAGGACGGAGGUCAUGGACAACUCGUCAAACCCCAUCGUCUGUCAUAUGUCAAGAUUUAUUCGACUUGAGUUCGAUAGUGGAAAACUCUUUUUCCACUUUAUAUUACUGCCCUGGCUAAGGUCUUAGAACUCAGUCUAACAAAUCACAUAGGAUCACUCCUCUUCUAUCAAGGUCGAUAGAUUCCUUAUAGGUGCAUGCCCUACUCCUACAGUGAACUUACUGCAACCAAUCUACACUGCAUGGACCCAUAUAGCUAGAGACCAUGUAUGUGUGCAGUCAAACUACAAUAACCUCACUGUGAGUAGCCGAAGCACCGCAGGUCAAAGGACCAGUCA
RNAcentral lists this long non-coding RNA (450 nucleotides) under Phoenix dactylifera (date palm). RNAcentral describes it as "long non-coding RNA (PDAC_LNC019312)". The record is from RNAcentral. Lineage: Eukaryota; Viridiplantae; Streptophyta; Magnoliopsida; Arecales; Arecaceae.